This 208-nucleotide ribosomal RNA is filed under the name uncultured bacterium. RNAcentral's name for it is "partial 16S ribosomal RNA". It matches the Rfam family "Bacterial small subunit ribosomal RNA", at positions 568 to 774 of the family's 1533-position model. The record is from RNAcentral.
AGCGCAGGCGGUUUUUUUAAGUCUGAUGUGAAAGCCUUCGGCUUAACCGAAGAAGUGCAUCGGAAACUGGGAAACUUGAGUGCAGAAGAGGACAGUGGAACUCCAUGUGUAGCGGUGAAAUGCGUAGAUAUAUGGAAGAACACCAGUGGCGAAGGCGGCUGUCUGGUCUGUAACUGACGCUGAGGCUCGAAAGCAUGGGUAGCGAACA